UAAUGUAAACAUGGCGUGAACACCCCUGGUACCCACCAAUCUGACCAGACACCCUGUAAUUAAAGACUGUAAAAAUAUCGCAAUAAACGACAUCGCUUUCGAGUCAACGCGGAAAUCAGGCCAGGCCCCAAGCCAGCUAUUGAAAUUCAUAACAAAUACAAAAUCAAACACGCCAAACAUCCCCUUCCAUUCAGUUUCGCUUUGUUAUCGCUCCAGUUGAAGAAAAGUCCUUUCUAUCUAGGGUUUGGGUUUGACAAUCAUUUCUUUGAAGAUGUUGGAGGUGGUGUUGAACGAUCGUUUGGGAAAGAAAGUGAGAGUGAAGUGCAACGACGACGACACGAUCGGCGACCUCAAGAAGCUCGUGGCGGCACAGACCGGCACCCGAGCUGAGAAGAUCCGGAUCCAGAAGUGGUACAACAUCUAUAAAGACCAUAUUACCCUCAAGGAUUACGAGAUUCAUGAUGGCAUGGGCCUCGAGCUCUACUACAACUAGAAUAAACAUGAAUUCCAGUGCAGUAUUGCAAGGCAUUGUGGAAGAUGAAGCUGCCUCUUCUUUGCUAGUAAUUUCUUACUCUUUGCAACUAGCCUGAUGGUUUGUAAUUGAUGCACAUAUACUUAUAUGAAAUAUGUAAUGACUGCCAUGACUAGAUUUGGUUAUAAUAUGUUAACUUGCAGCGUGUUCUGUUUGGUACAAGUGUUCCAAUUGUCUGUGAAUUGGUUGUUUUAUAACCAGGACUCUUAGGGUUUCAAUAGGAUGAAAAACUGGUUGAUUGGA
Long non-coding RNA from Populus euphratica (Euphrates poplar), 775 nucleotides. RefSeq lists it as uncharacterized. The transcript has 2 exons. Lineage: Eukaryota; Viridiplantae; Streptophyta; Magnoliopsida; Malpighiales; Salicaceae. The record is from RefSeq and is a predicted model, not a curated record.